This 803-nucleotide ribosomal RNA is filed under the name Bryoria nadvornikiana. RNAcentral's name for it is "SSU rRNA". It matches the Rfam family "Bacterial small subunit ribosomal RNA", at positions 304 to 1034 of the family's 1533-position model. Lineage: Eukaryota; Fungi; Ascomycota; Lecanoromycetes; Lecanorales; Parmeliaceae. The record is from RNAcentral.
UCGACCACAGUGGGCCUGAAUAAAGCCCAUGACGAUUGUCANAGCAGUGAGGAAUAUUGGUCAAUAGCCUAACGGCUGAACCAGCAACUUGGGGGAAUGUAUAGCAAUAGCUACUUGUAUCAUUGUAGACAUGAUGCAAGCUCGACUUUGUUGAAUAAAAUUCUAGGUAGAAUUAUGAUAAUGACAUUGUCUGCCUAUGUGUCUUGACCAAAUUACGUGCCAGCAGUCGCGGUAAUACGUAGAAGACUAGUGUUAUUCAUGUUUAAUCGGUUUAAAGGGUACCUAGACGGUAGAUCAAGCCUACAGAUAAAAGAAAUGAAGGGACUAAUUUGCUAGAGUUACUUAUGAGGGGGUAUUAAAGUACUGCUGGUGUAGAGAUGAAAUUCUGUCAUACCUCUUUUCAAUAGAAAAAUAAUGGCACAGGUAUAGGUGAAAGCAUCCCCUUAUGUGAUAACUGACGUUGAGGGACGAAGGCUUUGUGUAGCGAACAGGAUUAGAUACCCCAGUAGUCAAAGCAGAAAAUGAUGAAUGUCAUAGAUUAGAUAUAUAAGUUUAUUCUAUAAAUGAAAGUGUAAGCAUUCCACCUCAAGAGUAAUUUGGCAACAUUGGAACUGAAAUCAUUAGACCGUUUCUGAAACCAGUAGUGAAGUAUGUUGUUUAAUUUGAUGGUCCGCAAAAAACCUUACCACAAUUUGAAUAUUUAUAUUUUUUUUUAUUUUUAAUUUUCUUAUGACUCUCCUGAUGAAAAAAGAUAAUACANGUAGAACAAGAAGAAGAAAAAAUAAUAAGAUAUAUUUACAAGC